RNAcentral lists this ribosomal RNA (193 nucleotides) under uncultured Leptolinea sp. Its description in RNAcentral is "partial 16S ribosomal RNA". It matches the Rfam family "Bacterial small subunit ribosomal RNA", at positions 1192 to 1382 of the family's 1533-position model. The record is from RNAcentral. Lineage: Bacteria; Bacillati; Chloroflexota; Anaerolineae; Anaerolineales; Anaerolineaceae.
AGCAUGGCCUUUAUGUCCUGGGCUACACACGACGCUACAAUGGCCAACACAAUAGGUUGCUAAGCCGCGAGGUGGAGGCCAAUCCUCAAAGUUGGUCUCAGUUCAGAUUGCAGGCUGCAACCCGCCUGCAUGAAGAUGGAGUUGCUAGUAACCGCAGGUCAGCUAUACUGCGGUGAAUACGUUCCCGGGUCUU